RNAcentral lists this transfer RNA (72 nucleotides) under Ictidomys tridecemlineatus (thirteen-lined ground squirrel). Its description in RNAcentral is "Spermophilus tridecemlineatus (thirteen-lined ground squirrel) tRNA". It matches the Rfam family "tRNA". Rfam says of the family: Transfer RNA (tRNA) molecules are approximately 80 nucleotides in length. Their secondary structure includes four short double-helical elements and three loops (D, anti-codon, and T loops). Lineage: Eukaryota; Metazoa; Chordata; Mammalia; Rodentia; Sciuridae. RNAcentral also lists the same sequence under 1 other name. The record is from Rfam by way of RNAcentral.
GGGGCUGUAGCUCAGUGGUAGAGCACUUGCCUCACAUGUGUGAGGAGCUGGGUUCAAUCCUCAGCACCACCU